RNAcentral lists this small nucleolar RNA (108 nucleotides) under Olea europaea subsp. europaea. Its description in RNAcentral is "Plant small nucleolar RNA R71". It matches the Rfam family "Plant small nucleolar RNA R71". From Rfam's summary of the family: R71 is a member of the C/D box family of snoRNAs containing the C (UGAUGA) and D (CUGA) box motifs. Lineage: Eukaryota; Viridiplantae; Streptophyta; Magnoliopsida; Lamiales; Oleaceae. The record is from Rfam by way of RNAcentral.
AUUCCAUGAUUUGGACACUUUCUCAUCAGCUCCUUGAAUCUGUUUCAUACCUCGUGAUAGCUCCCUACAUCUAUCUGUUGGAAAGUUUGAAUUUUCAAUUUUUCUACU